This 499-nucleotide ribosomal RNA is filed under the name uncultured Glomeromycotina. RNAcentral's name for it is "partial small subunit ribosomal RNA". It matches the Rfam family "Eukaryotic small subunit ribosomal RNA", at positions 591 to 1092 of the family's 1831-position model. The record is from RNAcentral. Lineage: Eukaryota; Fungi; Glomeromycota.
CCAAUAGCGUAUAUUAAAGUUGCUGCAGUUAAAAAGCUCGUAGUUGAAUUUCGGGACUAAUAUGUUGGUCGUGCCUCGGUACGUACUGGUAUUUUUGGUUUCUCCCUUCUGACGCACCUUGAUGUCAUUAAUUGGGUGUCUUGGGAAAUCAGGACUGUUACUUUGAAAAAAUUAGAGUGUUUAAAGCAGGCUCACGCUUGAAUACAUUAGAAUGGAAUAAUGAAAUAGGACGUUUGAUUCUAUUUUGUUGGUUUCUAGGAUCGACGUAAUGAUUAAUAGUGAUAGUUGGGGGCAUUAGUAUUCAAUUGUCAGAGGUGGAAUUCUUGGAUUUAUUUAAGACUAACUACUGCGAAAGCAUUUGCCAAGGAUGUUUUCAUUAAUCAAGAACGAAAGUUAGGGGAUCGAAGACGAUCAGAUACCGUCGUAGUCUUAACCAUAAACUAUGCCGACUAGGGAUCGGAUGAUGUUAAUUUUUUAAUGACUCAUUCGGCGCCUUACG